UACGAAGGGGGCUAGCGUUGUUCGGAAUUACUGGGCGUAAAGCGCGUGUAGGCGGGCCGUUAAGUCGGGGGUGAAAGCCCAGAGCUCAACUCUGGAAUUGCCUUCGAUACUGGCGGCCUGGAGCAUGAUAGAGGCGAGUGGAAUUGCGAGUGUAGAGAUGAAAUUCGUAGAUAUUCGCAGGAACACCAGUGGCGAAGGCGACUCGCUGGAUCAUUGCUGACGCUGAGACGCGAAAGCGUGGGGAGCAAUCAGG
RNAcentral lists this ribosomal RNA (253 nucleotides) under uncultured bacterium. RNAcentral describes it as "partial 16S ribosomal RNA". It matches the Rfam family "Bacterial small subunit ribosomal RNA", at positions 524 to 776 of the family's 1533-position model. The record is from RNAcentral.